RNAcentral lists this long non-coding RNA (316 nucleotides) under Oryza sativa Indica Group (long-grained rice). Its description in RNAcentral is "lncRNA OsZS97_05G010390". The record is from RNAcentral. Lineage: Eukaryota; Viridiplantae; Streptophyta; Magnoliopsida; Poales; Poaceae.
GUUGUUCCGGUUUCCGUCCUUCCUAGUUCCCAUCCUGACUACGCCAUCGAUCGUGCGAGUGCUGCUUUCAUAACUCGACGACUCAACGCUUGGGAUUGGGGGCCCAUGUCCAAUGGCGGCAACAGGCGUCUGGCGACUAGGAUCAAGAGCAGUGUUCAGCAAGCAGCGUCAUCGGUGUUUGCGGCCUUGGACAAGGACAAUGACGGCAAGGUUUCCGCGUUCGAGCUGCGUGGCUGCAUGGUGGUGGAGCUUGGCGAGGACGUGUUCGAGGAGGCGGCGGCGAUCCUCGGAAAGGCUAAGGGGUGAUCGAUCGCCC